GACGAACGCUGGCGGCGUGCUUAACACAUGCAAGUCGAACGCUGAAGCUCAGCUUUUGUUGGGUGGAUGAGUGGCACACGUGUGAGUCACACGUGAGUAACCUGCCUCGUUCUUUGGGAUAACGGGCGGCAACGGGUACUAAUACUGGAUAUUCACUGGUGUUCGCAUGGGGGUUGGUGGCCAGGGUGUUUCUGGUGGGGGUUGGGCUGGCGGCCUAUCGGCUGGUUUGUGGGGUGAUGGCGUACCCAGGCGUUAACGGGUCGGGGGUCUGAGAGGGUGACCGGUCACAUUGGGACUGAGAUACGGCCCAGACUCCUACGGGAGGCAGCAGUGGGGAAUAUUGCGCAAUGGGCGAAAGCCUGAUGCAGCGACGCCGCGUGAGGGAUGGGGGCCGUCGGGUUGUUAACCUCUGUCGCUCGUGAUGAAGGCGCAACAAUGGCUGUGUUGACGGUACCGGGUGAAGAAGCACCGGCUAACUACGUG
Molecule: ribosomal RNA, 483 nt
Filed under: uncultured bacterium
Lineage: Bacteria
Description: partial 16S ribosomal RNA
Rfam family: Bacterial small subunit ribosomal RNA
Source: RNAcentral